UGGAGUCAGUUUCUAUGAAAACUGGUUUAAUUCAAUUUAAAUAAUCCGAUUUCAUGUUUUUUUGUUUUUUUUUAUCAGAUCAGUUUUCUUCGUUCUUAUGAUUUUUAAAAUCAAUAUUUUCAGUUGUCGUUAGUUUAUUCGGCUAAUAAACACUUCUACAGUGAGACUCAACUAAGUGACAAUAACAAUGUUAGCUAUUUCUAACAAAGAAUGAAAAUAAUAACAUCAAAUUAGUCAUUUACUCGUAUUCUAAUAGUAUAAAAAUCCGGUGCAGAAACAGAUUUAUGUAGGAUCACAUGAAGGAUUGCUAACAACUUUCAAAUAGGCACACCUCAAUAUUCACGAGGGUGUCAUCAUUGAUUCAAAAACACAACUACAAAAACAUACACAGAAGAUACAAAAGCAGGUAACGAAUGUUAGUUCUGUUUGUCAUUACAAUUAGCAAUUUCGACCAAUCUAGUCUUCUGCGGCAUCUUCGAUUUCUUCAUCCUCUGGGACUCCUCGAAGGUAGAGAACAUUGUUACAUCUAGACAUGCAGACAAUGAAAUAAGAGAACAAGUUUCCAAUAAAUAAACGAGGUCAAGUUUUUGAUGGCACAAAGAAGGGACAGAUCGAACAUUAAGAGCAAAAACGAAGAUUGAUGAGAAUAAGAGGACAAGUUUACAAGAAAUACCUAAAAUAAAUGAGGAUGUGACAAAGAAGUAAAAAAAAAAAAAGAAAAAAAAAACUAGCAAGCUGUUGAAUUGAUUGCUUGAGAAUAUCACCAGAGGGUCACAUAGUGAUUGCCAGAGGGUUGCACUGCGUUUGUGCAACAGUCGCAAGGUAGAAGAGGAGACAAGUGAGGUAUAGUAAUAAACUUUGAAAGAGUUUUCUACAAGCUGAAACCAUUUCAGUAUCCAAAAAUAAAAUAAAAAAUAUCUCCAUCAAAUAUCCUUCUGAUACAGUGAAAUGUAACAUUACGGCAGUGCAUAUGGUGGCCAGGGCAACUACACCUCUAUAGCAUGCUACUAUUAAAAAAUAUUUAUAGUUCCACCAUAUAUAUAAAUACAAUCACAUGAGAUGGGUAAAACACAGGAUAAAGAAAGACUACAAAGAACAAAAUUAACUUUUUUUUGCAGCACAUUAUGAAAGUGAAUUUCAGGGAAGAUAUGCUUUGCUGGGAAGAAAUGUCAUAGAGCUGUGGCAGAAAUACACCAAUAUAUAUAUAUAUAUAUCCAUUCAUCCGUCCAGGUGAUUUUAAAUUCUCUUAUAAUACAUUUCAAAAUUAUAACUGAGCGUGAAUUUAAAGGGAGAUUUAUAUCAUUCAUAAUACUUUUAUUGCAGUUGAACAGUAUUAUUUUUUCGUGAAGCAUAUAGUCAUAAAAAAAGUAUUAUCUAAAAACUUAUACCAUAUUCAAUGAAGAUUUGAUAUUAUUGUUUUCUUUUAUGUGUGACCUGUAUACACGGAAAUUUAAAAGUAAAGGUUUUUAAUUAAAAACAUUUGUCGUCUAAAAAUAUAUGUAUCUUUCAAUGCUUGAUUUUUUAAGAUCUAGAAAAAAUAAUAAAAUAUAUUUAAUACUCUUGACCAUUUAUUGUGGAUACACAUUUGCACUGACAUAAUUCAAUGGGCCAGCAACAGCUAGUUAUGCAGUAUGGACUUUUUCUUUCCCUUUCAAUCUUCUAUCAUUACUAACUAAACCCCAUACUUUUUCUUUCCCUUUCUAUACUUCUAGUAUUACUAACUAAACCCCAUACUUAAAUAAAAAGACUAAAAUAUUCUUCUUCGCUGCACCACACCAUCACUCCGUCAUUCUUUCUACGAUUGAUGCCCCCAUCAUCUCUAAAGAGGAAGAAGAAGAAAGAAAACAUGUUGAGAAGAAAAGCUCGUUUACAAAAGCUCAUUUCUCAACGCUUUAGGAAAGCUUAUUCCAUAAUACAUUUCAUGUGUUCAAAAAAGAUUAUUUUGGAAAUUCCGUUCUGAAAAUCUUAUUCUUAAAAUUAUGUUCCAAAAAUUUUGGAUAACCUGUUCUAUAAAAGGUUUCCAAAAAAAUAAUCCAGAUGUCACUUUUAAAAUGAUAAAAUUAUCAUUUAAAAAAAAUUAGAAGUGUGGGGCUAGAAUUUAUGGGAGUGCGAGAAAAAAAGCCUGCAUAUGUCUAAGUUGGGCUGGAUUUGGCCCCUUUUAAGAUGUUGGGUUUAGCUCGCUAUGCCCACACCAGGGGGUUGCUCCCUCCACCUCCCUCAUUUCCUCCCUCCACCUACCCCGUCCUCUUUUAUCCCACUCUAUUUUUCUAUUCCUAAUUUAUCCUUCAGUAAAAAUUUAUUUUUAGGAUUAAAAUUUUAUAAUUUCUAUCCACUUCCUUUAUACAACCAUUCAUUCAUUCAUUUUUUUUUUAUAGUUGAUGUUCUCCUUCUUGGUCUUUUGCCUUGAAAUUCUUUCUCUUAUUUUUCUUAUUUUUCUUUUGGUGUGAGAAUCUUAUGAGUUUACUGGAAAGAAUCGCUCAAGGAGUAACAAACUUCAAUGUUGCUUGAAUUGAAGGUGGUGGUGGAGUCUAUUAGUGGAGCGUUGUGUGAAUAAGCGCCCAGGUAAGUAACUCUGAAUCAAUCGUGAAAAACCCUUAAACGGAUACAUCUGUCAGCGGAUGUCAUCAUCCGUUUAAGGUAAAACGGAUGUCGACAACACCGUUCUCUCUUACUCCAUCGACGCCACCGUAGAAACAACAUUGCUCCCAAUGUCAGUACUCAACCCACAACACCAACAACAGUCUCCAAUCAGCAACAUUUAUGCACAAGGAGUCUUCCAAGCUCCAAUAAGCAUCCUUCUCCCCGUAGUUUCUUGCGAAGAAGACAAAGUUGGGCCAAGAAAGCAGAUUCACUAUCCUGAACUCCAUCAGGUUGUUCAAGUCCAAAUCCAACCCCAUGAAUCCAAUCUGAAUCCAAGCUCUUCCCCAUCUUCAUCCUUCAUAUCCAUAACACUAUCAAAACCAAAUCUCGAACACCCACUUCCUUGUACCACGGGAAAUCUUUGUCAUGAUGAUAAACCUUGCAGCGGCUUAGAACACCUUGUAUACAUUUCCAACCCCAUUUAUGAAAACCACGAGAGCCAAAGGAGCGGAGCAAAUACCCGAGACACCAGACACUUCACCUUCACGUUUGGAAAGAAGUGGUUCUUCUGAGGAGGAUAAGGCAACCCUUUCUGUCACCCACUGACCUCCAUCUACCCCUCCUUUGACUCCAAUGAAGAAGCUCCCUUUAGAGGCUUGUUCCGUUUCUCUAAGAGAUGCAAGGUCCUUGGCCACUUCAUGCAACGAUUCUCGUUUGGACUGGGAGAGUUUGGAGCAAGAGUUUUAAAAAAUGUUUUCAACAUGAAACGGAUCUGGAGUACAGGAACGAAUCUGGAGUUUGGGGGGUGAGAAUCUAAGAGAAGGGGAGGCGGGGUUGUUGCUGAAGUAAAAAGUUGAAAUAUAGGUUACUUAACUAAACAGGGUUAAAAAGUAAAAAAUAAAGUAAAAAAGGUUAAAAGACGGUUAUUUAUGCAAUUAAAAAAAAGUUGGAAAAAAUUGGGGAAGUGGAGGGUGGAAACGGGGAGGUGGAGGGAGCAACACCCCCCACUCCAAUGUCUUGUCACUCGUACUUGCUGCUCUGUCGGACAGACCUCCGUGGGUUAAUAUCAUGCUUUCUCGAAGCUUUUGAUAGUUUUUGUUUACAUUUAUAUAUUUCAAAAUAAAAGCAAUUAAAAUUAGAUUAGUACUUAGUGGUAAGGAGUUUAACUAAUCUGUACAGUUCAUACUUCAAACCUUAUUACAUUCGUGGAGAAAAAUCCUUUUUACUUGUAAUAGCUAUACACAACUUAAUAUCUUAUUCUAAUAUUGCUCCAAGUACCGCAACACAUUUUAAAUAAUUUUUUUUUUCUUAAAAAAUAUGACCACAAAAUGCCUAAAAUAUUAUAUACUCCAUAAUAUCAUAAUUUAUACACAUAACUAUUAAGUUUUAGCUCUAAAGAGAAUUUGAAUUUUUUUAAGUAGGUUUGAACCAUAUUAAGUAAGAAGGAUGUUCUCAGAGUAUUCUGACUAGAAGUUGUGAAAUGAUGCAUCCACAUUUAAAAUCGUUAUCUAACAACAAAAUUAGAGAACAAGACUUUAGAACAAGUUUGGAGUGAUACAAAUCCAAUUGUGGAGUAUUUUAAAAUCUUUGGACAUUUAGUACAUGCACAUAUAUCAUAUCAAAGGAAGGCUAAACUAAAAAAUAAGAGUAGAAAUUGUGUUUUUCUAAGAUUCAAUGAUGAAUCUAAGACAUGAGAAUCUAAGUCAUUGAAAUUGAUGUUUUAUAUUAGUGUUGUCAAAACGGGUCAAUUGGCCCGACCCACCACGGUUUGAUCACUUAAGGACGUUGCUCCCUCCACCUCCCCGUUUUCUCCCUCCACCUUCCCCUUCCUCUUUUAUCCCUUACUCUAUCUUUAUAUUCCUAAUUUAUCCUUCAGUAAAAGUUUAUUUUUAGGGUUAAAUUUUUAUCAUUUCUAUCUACUCUCCACACACAACCUAUUCAUUCUCUAUUACGUUCAUGCUCUCAUUCUUACUCUUUCAUCUUGGGAAUUCUUUCUCUUCUCUUUCUUUUGAUGUGAGAGUCUGGUGAGUGAAAGGUUGCUGGAAGGAAUUGUUGUAGGGGUAACAAACUUCAAUGUCUGCAUUGCUUGAAGGUGGUGGUGGACUUUAUCAACGUUUAAGAAAAGUUUGUGAAAAAACGGCGAGGUACAUAACCCUAAAUUAACCUAGAAAACUCUUAAAUGGAUGUGAGCAUCCGUCAACGGAUGUCAACAUCCGUUUAAGGUAAAACGGAUGUCAACAUCCGUUUAAGAGUUUUCAAGGUUAAUUUUGAGAUUAAAAAUUGAAUCUUAUAUAAAGGAUGAAUUUGAAUCUGAUAUAAAGAGUGAGUGAGUGUGACUGGUGUAGCUUGGUUUUUGUGCCUUCAAAACCAAAAUGAGUAUUGAUGAUCAAAUUUCAUUUGGGUGACCUUCUUGCCAACAUUAGAUAGGCAUCUAAAUUCAACCUUUCCACGUUUUUCUCCUUUGACAAGACUAACAUCAGAGGUAUUUUCGAAAAUUUCACCCACAAACCCUUUUGGUUUUUCCACAUAUUCAUCUUCCAUAGAAUCGAUCAAAAUAUUCUUCUCUUCACCUGCAAAAAUUAAUAGGUUACUUAAUUAAAUAGGGUUAAAAAAUAAAAAAUAAAGUAAAAAAGUUUUAAAAAAAAGGUUAUUUUUGUAAACGUGGUGGUGGAGGGAGCAACCCUAUCACUUAAUGAGUCAAUCCAAUCUGGCUCAUUUAUUAGCGAGUCAGAAAAAUUUGAACUCGACCCAACCCACCACAGGUUGGCUUACUAACUCACUUAAUUACAAUUU
This 5373-nucleotide long non-coding RNA is filed under the name Vigna radiata. RNAcentral describes it as "long non-coding RNA (VRAD_LNC017858)". The record is from RNAcentral. Lineage: Eukaryota; Viridiplantae; Streptophyta; Magnoliopsida; Fabales; Fabaceae.